Molecule: long non-coding RNA, 255 nt
Filed under: Homo sapiens (human)
Lineage: Eukaryota; Metazoa; Chordata; Mammalia; Primates; Hominidae
Description: non-protein coding lnc-KIF2B-6:1
Source: RNAcentral
GUCCUGGACAAGGAAACACUUUGCCAACCUCUGGACUAGACUGAGUAAAGCAAGCAGAAAGAUCCAAUUUUAAAAAGAGGUGAGGAAAAUGGGACAACUUGGCUAUGGAGAGAGCAAGAAGAAUGCAACUGAUGUGCACAAAGUUUGAAGACAAAGUUACUCAGGUUUAGAUCAGGGGUCCACAACCCCCAGCCAUGGACCAGUACUGAUUUGUGGCCUGUUAGGAACUCAGUUGCAGUAGGAGGUGAAUGCCAG